Molecule: ribosomal RNA, 253 nt
Filed under: uncultured bacterium
Lineage: Bacteria
Description: partial 16S ribosomal RNA
Rfam family: Bacterial small subunit ribosomal RNA
Source: RNAcentral
UACGUAGGGUGCGAGCGUUAAUCGGAAUUACUGGGCGUAAAGCGUGCGCAGGCGGUUUUGUAAGCCGGUGGGGAAAUCCCCGGGCUUAACCUGGGAAUGGCAUUCGGGACUGCAAGGCUGGAGUGCGGCAGAGGAGACUGGAAUUCCUGGUGUAGCAGUGAAAUGCGUAGAUAUCAGGAGGAACACCGAUGGCGAAGGCAGGUCUCUGGGCUGACACUGACGCUCAUGCACGAAAGCGUGGGGAGCAAACAGG